Mastomys coucha (southern multimammate mouse) is the source of this 2124-nucleotide long non-coding RNA. RefSeq lists it as uncharacterized. The transcript is spliced from 3 exons. The record is from RefSeq and is a predicted model, not a curated record. Lineage: Eukaryota; Metazoa; Chordata; Mammalia; Rodentia; Muridae.
UUUCUGGCUCCAAACCUGGGGGCAGCCAUCCAUUUCAGGGCCCUACGUGCUUCUCUGGAGGAGGCAUUCAGAAAUAGAGCUCAGAGCCAUGUAUCAGCCUUUCCCUGAGAACUGUAUUAGCUUCAAAUCCAAUUGGCUUUCCUAAAAACAGCUCCUUUACUUCUUUAACUGGUUUAUGGCUAAGAACUUUUACAUUUCAAUACAUUCCUGGGAAAGAUGACAGCUGGCAAACUGAUGGAUUGUUCUCACACCUGAGAAAAUCACCAGUAGAAAGGUACCUUGGGUUUAGGAAGAUGCCCUCCUUAAAUCUAACAUAAGCAACUGUCACAGCAGGUAAAGCCUCAGAGACCCCAGGGCAGCCGAACCUUCCAAGAGUCCCCUAUGGCCUCUUUCCUGCCAUACACAUCUUAGACCUCACACUGUGAGUAUCUUUUGAACUUCAUUGAGUUGAAUUUCAUCUCUCUGUGUGUUUAAUAAAAAUUCCAUCUGUAAGAGACAAAUAAAUUACCUUGUCUCCAAUAACCAAGUUCCUUUGACUUCCGGGGUCACUUAAUAACUUUGAGUUCUUAUGGUUCACCAAGCUCCUAGGCAAGUUGUUUGCUCUUUAAGCAGAAUCUUGAAAGUGUGAUUGUACCUAUAUAUGUUAUUUUCACUACUUAUGAAAUAAUAUUUACUAUUUUACAGAUGAUGUCACCAGGCAUUUAACAGAUAGUAAAACUGAGACUCAAAUACUCUGGGCCUCUGUUUUGCUUUCAAAACAUGCAGAAGAUAAAUGAAAAUGGUCUCUUCCUCUUCUUAAUUUAUCCCACUAUGCCUGGGUUGUGAUCCACUGCUAUAGUACCUGCAGUAUGCAUAAGACCCUGCAGGGACAGUCGUUUUCCUCACAGCGAACCCUUCAUGCAGAUGGCUUCAAGCUAACCAGGUUCUUUCUUAUGCUCUCAUUACCCUGUGUCACCCCACUGUGGUUAUCCUGUGAGACAAUUAUAUAGAGGUCAUUACCGUGCUGUCCUCGAGAUACAGCUGUAGAAGUAUGUGAGAAAAAUGUCUCACAGCAUAUAUGCUAUCAGUUAAAGAAGAGUUUAUCAGCUUUCCAGCAUGUGACAGAGCACUGUUGUAAUACAUGAUAAGAAAAUAUGGCAGGCAGACAUACAGUGCAAGCAACAUGUGGAGGGGAAAUUUAUGUUGCUACUCUUCUGCUUCCUCUCUUCCACGUGCCAAAAGGCAUAGAAGGGUCUAUAUAGAUAUGGUCUACUCUUUAUCUUCUAAGGACUUAUAAUCCAUCAGAGAACAAGGCACAGGGUGUGUGAUAGUGAUGUUAGCAGCACAUGGCAUACACCACGACAAGCUUCCUAUGAAGGAACAGCACAGAGCACACCAUGGAAGCUUUGAUGAGUGUGUCCAGAUGGAGUCGAGGGGAUUCAAAUAUAGAUUCCUGAGGAAAGCUGAGCUGAGCCUUCAAGGACAAAGAAUCAGCCAGGCUCUGCUUCAGUACCUGAACCAGGAACUGGAUGUCGAAGGUUUGCUUUCUCACUGGAGAACAAUCACAGGACCUCCGUGGGCCCCUCACCAUGCCUGGACAGUACCAGUUAUUACAAACACCAUCAAAUCAUUACAUAUGAAGAAUCACUGCCAGAUAUCCACUACUAAACACAGUAUUCAAACUUCUCCCAAUAAUUUUCUCACUUUCAAAUGUUUAAAGGAAGGACAUAGGAGACCAGAACAAAUGGAAAACAUCAGGCCUUUGUCUAAAUAAAAUCAAAGGAACUCCAGCUAUUAAAGAAAAGUGUACUGAUAUUCACAUUCCACAGUGGAGAGAGGAGGGACUUGUAAUUUCCCACCCCUUACUGAACAGCUAAUAAGGGCUAAGGGAAACUCAGUUUUCUCACACGCUCCAGUGGAUGGUGCCAUAACACGUAUCGUCCAGUAGAUGGUGCCACAAACCCAUGCUCCAGUAGAUGGUGCCAUACAUCGAUGCUCCAGUAGACGGUGCCAUACACCCAUGAACAUAUGGGCAGCAGUAAUUGUUUACAGUGGAUCUGGGAAUUGGGAGGGAGAGAAGUGAUGGGGGGGAUGGAGAAGAUAUGAAACUGGGAGCAGGAUAUGGAAAUGGAGUCUGGGAGGAGU